AACGGCGAGUGAAGAGGAAAGAGCUCAAAGUUGGAACCUGUUUGGCUUAGCUAAACCGGAUUGUAAACUGUAGAAACAUUUUCCAGAUACACUAGACAAAAAAGUCCUUUGGAACAGGGCAUCAUAGAGGGUGAGAAUCCCGUCUUUGGUCUAAGUAGUUGUCUAUUGUGAUAUGUUUUCAAAGAGUCAGGUUGUUUGGGAAUGCAGCCUAAAUUGGGUGGUAAAUCUCACCUAAAGCUAAAUAUUUGCGAGAGACCGAUAGCGAACAAGUACCGUGAGGGAAAGAUGAAAAGAACUUUGAAAAGAGAGUUAAACAGUAUGUGAAAUUGUUAAAAGGGAACCGUUUGGAGCCAGACUGGCUUGAUUGUAAUCAACCUAGAAUUCGUUUUGGGUGCACUUGCAGUCUAUGCCUGCCAACGACAGUUUGAUUUGGAGGAAAAAAUUAAUAGGAAUGUGGCCUCUCGAGGUGUUAUAGCCUAUUAUCAUACUCUGGAUUGGACUGAGGAACGCAGUGAAUGCCUUUAGGCAAGAUUGCUGGGCGCUUUCGCUAAUAAAUGUUAGAAUUUCUGCUUCGGGUGGUGCUAAUGUUUAAAGGAGGAACUCGUUUAGUAUAUUUUUU
Molecule: ribosomal RNA, 619 nt
Filed under: Mucor circinelloides
Lineage: Eukaryota; Fungi; Mucoromycota; Mucoromycetes; Mucorales; Mucoraceae
Description: LSU rRNA
Rfam family: Eukaryotic large subunit ribosomal RNA
Source: RNAcentral